Molecule: ribosomal RNA, 253 nt
Filed under: uncultured bacterium
Lineage: Bacteria
Description: partial 16S ribosomal RNA
Rfam family: Bacterial small subunit ribosomal RNA
Source: RNAcentral
UACGUAGGGUGCAAGCGUUAAUCGGAAUUACUGGGCGUAAAGCGUGCGCAGGCGGUUUUGUAAGUCUGACGUGAAAUCCCCGGGCUCAACCUGGGAAUUGCGAUGAAGACUGCAAGGCUAGAAUCUGGCAGAGGGGGGUAGAAUUCCACGUGUAGCAGUGAAAUGCGUAGAGAUGUGGAGGAACACCGAUGGCGAAGGCAGCCCCCUGGGUCAAGAUUGACGCUCAUGCACGAAAGCGUGGGGAGCAAACAGG